UACGAAGGGGGCUAGCGUUGUUCGGAAUUACUGGGCGUAAAGCGCACGUAGGCGGCUUUGUAAGUCAGGGGUGAAAUCCCGGGGCUCAACCUCGGAACUGCCUUUGAUACUGCAAGUCUCGAGUCCGAUAGAGGUGAGUGGAACUGCGAGUGUAGAGGUGAAAUUCGUAGAUAUUCGCAAGAACACCAGUGGCGAAGGCGGCCCUCUGGACGGUGACUGACGCUGAGACGCGAAAGCGUGGGGAGCAAACAGG
Molecule: ribosomal RNA, 253 nt
Filed under: uncultured bacterium
Lineage: Bacteria
Description: partial 16S ribosomal RNA
Rfam family: Bacterial small subunit ribosomal RNA
Source: RNAcentral